RNAcentral lists this ribosomal RNA (497 nucleotides) under uncultured bacterium. Its description in RNAcentral is "bacterial SSU rRNA". It matches the Rfam family "Bacterial small subunit ribosomal RNA", at positions 28 to 518 of the family's 1533-position model. The record is from RNAcentral.
GACGAACGCUGGCGGCGUGCCUAACACAUGCAAGUCGAACGGGACCAGGGGCAACUCUGGUUCAGUGGCGGACGGGUGCGUAACACGUGAGGAACAUGACCUUGGCGGGGAGUAGCCGGCCCAACGGCCGGGUAAUACCGCGUACGACCACAUGGGGACGAUCCCUGAGUGGUGAAAGCAGCAAUGCGCCGAUGGAGUGCCUCGCGGCCUAUCAGCUAGUUGGUGAGGUAACGGCNCACCAAGGCGACGACGGGUAGCUGGUCUGAGAGGAUGGCCAGCCACAUUGGGACUGAGACACGGCCCAGACUCCUACGGGAGGCAGCAGUGGGGAAUUGUUCGCAAUGGGCGCAAGCCUGACGACGCAACGCCGCGUGGAGGAUGAAGAUUUUCGGAUCGUAAACUCCUGUCGAGCGGGAAGAACACCUACCUGGCGAAUAUCCGGGUAGGCUGACGGUACCGCUAAAGGAAGCCCCGGCUAACUCCGUGCCAGCAGCCGC